CACAGAUAGAAUUAUUCCAUAAAGAUGCAAAACUUCUAUAAUUAUAAAAACUUCAUAAAUUUGUGAUUUGACAGCAGCAGAAUAGAUGUUAAAGAGGCAGUAACCUGAGAAGUGUGAUAGGAAAAAAAUGCUGACAUGAAAUAUAGAUGGUUGAGCUAAAGCUGUGUGUUGUCAUUUUGUGUGAGUCCAGGUGCAUACCACAUGUAAGAGUGGAGAAAGCUGCAUUUCCUUCAAAGAGAGAAACUGAGUCGUCGUUCAUUCCUGGGGUAAAAGAAGGAGCAUAAGGCAUCCUAUUCCAGUUCUUGGAUGAACAUCUAGUCUGCAGUACACUGUUUAUGCCUAAAGCAAAUUCCAAGAAAGGGACCAAAUUUUGGAUUUACCUCUUCCAGGUACAAAGAACUCUCUGGAAGGUUCCUGAAACUUUCUUGCUUUCCUGGUUCCUAUUUGGACUGACCAUGAGAACCAGUGAAAUGGAGACUAUAGAAAACCUCAGCCUCUUUCAAUGCUAAAGGAAUGCAGACACGUUGGAACUUAAAUUUUAAAAGCCAAUUGUAAUUCAAGAUCAUCUGAAAAGAACUGCUUUCCCAAAUAUAGCAUUCCCCAAAAAAAUAUUUCUUAAAAAUGAGCUGAGACAUGAGUUAGUAAAUGAAUAAGUAAAUAAUCUUUCCCAAUAACAAAAAAACCCAAAAAAAUAAAAAAAUCAAAAAAAAACCCCA
RNAcentral lists this long non-coding RNA (716 nucleotides) under Cyanistes caeruleus (blue tit). RNAcentral's name for it is "lncRNA (ENSCCEG00000018252.1)". Lineage: Eukaryota; Metazoa; Chordata; Aves; Passeriformes; Paridae. The record is from RNAcentral.